This 503-nucleotide ribosomal RNA is filed under the name Mycobacterium sp. N1874. RNAcentral describes it as "bacterial SSU rRNA". It matches the Rfam family "Bacterial small subunit ribosomal RNA", at positions 1 to 523 of the family's 1533-position model. The record is from RNAcentral. Lineage: Bacteria; Bacillati; Actinomycetota; Actinomycetes; Mycobacteriales; Mycobacteriaceae.
UGGAGAGUUUGAUCCUGGCUCAGGACGAACGCUGGCGGGCGAUGCUUAACACAUGCAAGUCGAACGGAAAGGCCCUUCGGGGUACUCGAGUGGCGAACGGGUGAGUAACACGUGGGUGAUCUGCCCUGCACUUUGGGAUAAGCCUGGGAAACUGGGUCUAAUACCGAAUAUGACCAUGCACUUCCUGGUGUGUGGUGGAAAGCUUUUGCGGUGUGGGAUGGGCCCGCGGCCUAUCAGCUUGUUGGUGGGGUAAUGGCCUACCAAGGCGACGACGGGUAGCCGGCCUGAGAGGGUGACCGGCCACACUGGGACUGAGAUACGGCCCAGACUCCUACGGGAGGCAGCAGUGGGGAAUAUUGCACAAUGGGCGCAAGCCUGAUGCAGCGACGCCGCGUGAGGGAUGACGGCCUUCGGGUUGUAAACCUCUUUCAACAGGGACGAAGCGCAAGUGACGGUACCUAUAGAAGAAGGACCGGCCAACUACGUGCCAGCAGCCGCGGUAA